AUCCCUUCUUGGCCUUUUGGCUAAGAUCAAGUGUAGUAUCAAGAAAAUAAAUAAAUCUUAAAAAAAAAAAAAAAACUAGCU
This is a small nuclear RNA of Oryctolagus cuniculus (rabbit), 81 nucleotides long. Its record names the gene U2. It matches the Rfam family "U2 spliceosomal RNA". From Rfam's summary of the family: U2 is a small nuclear RNA (snRNA) component of the spliceosome (involved in pre-mRNA splicing). Complementary binding between U2 snRNA (in an area lying towards the 5' end but 3' to hairpin I) and the branchpoint sequence (BPS) of the intron results the bulging out of an unpaired adenosine, on the BPS, which initiates a nucleophilic attack at the intronic 5' splice site, thus starting the first of two transesterification reactions that mediate splicing. The record is from Ensembl. NCBI's taxonomy places the organism in Eukaryota, Metazoa, Chordata, Mammalia, Lagomorpha, Leporidae.